GACGUAGGAUGCGAGCGUUGUCCGGAUUUAUUGGGCGUAAAGAGUUCGUAGGUGGUUUGUUAAGUCUGAUGUUAAAGACCGAGGCUCAACCUCGGAAAUGCAUUGGAUACUGGCAGACUCGAGUGUAGUAGAGGCAAGCGGAAUUCCAGGUGUAGCGGUGAAAUGCGUAGAUAUCUGGAAGAACACCAGUGGCGUAAGCGGCUUGCUGGGCUAUAACUGACACUGAGGAACGAAAGCCAGGGUAGCGAAU
Molecule: ribosomal RNA, 250 nt
Filed under: uncultured bacterium
Lineage: Bacteria
Description: partial 16S ribosomal RNA
Rfam family: Bacterial small subunit ribosomal RNA
Source: RNAcentral